RNAcentral lists this ribosomal RNA (597 nucleotides) under Yarrowia divulgata. Its description in RNAcentral is "eukaryotic LSU rRNA". The stretch from base 80 to 228 matches the Rfam family "5.8S ribosomal RNA". Lineage: Eukaryota; Fungi; Ascomycota; Dipodascomycetes; Dipodascales. The record is from RNAcentral.
ACCUGCGGAAGGAUCAUUAUUGAUUUACCAUACUUUUGUGAACAUUUAAUUACAUUAACUCAUCAUCUAAUCCAAUUAUAACUAUCAACAACGGAUCUCUUGGCUCUCACAUCGAUGAAGAACGCAGCGAACCGCGAUAUUUUUUGUGACUUGCAGAUGUGAAUCAUCAAUCUUUGAACGCACAUUGCGCGGUAUGGUAUUCCGUACCGCACGGAUGGAAGAGCGUGUUCCCUUUGGGAUCGCACUGCUUUCUUGAAAUGAAUCUAUUACUUCAAUACAAUCCAUUUCACCUCUUUCAUCCGAGAUUACCCGCUGAACUUAAGCAUAUCAAUAAAGCGGGAGGAGAAGGAUCAUUAUUGAUUUACCAUACUUUUGUGAACAUUUAAUUACAUUAACUCAUCAUCUAACCAAUUAUAACUAUCAACAACGGAUCUCUUGGCUCUCACAUCGAUGAAGAACGCAGCGAACCGCGAUAUUUUUUGUGACUUGCAGAUGUGAAUCAUCAAUCUUUGAACGCACAUUGCGCGGUAUGGUAUUCCGUACCGCACGGAUGGAAGAGCGUGUUCCUUUGGGAUCGCACUGCUUUCUUGAAAUGAA